RNAcentral lists this long non-coding RNA (221 nucleotides) under Struthio camelus australis. RNAcentral's name for it is "lncRNA (ENSSCUG00000010001.1)". Lineage: Eukaryota; Metazoa; Chordata; Aves; Struthioniformes; Struthionidae. The record is from RNAcentral.
CAGGGACCAGCCUCUCAGGGAAAACCAGGUAUAUUUUAUCACACCCUAAAUCUUAUGGUCGACUUUUCACAAUAGAAGAUUUACAGGUGAGAGCAACUCGUACGUGAAGAAGCCUUUGUGGUUUUGAAUGUCACUAAAAAGGCAACAGUUUUGGAGAAUGCAUCGUGCCUGAGAAUAUUCUAGAGCGUUCUCUGUCUUUUCUUACCGUGACCACUUAAGCA